RNAcentral lists this ribosomal RNA (393 nucleotides) under Streptomyces sp. 0112ALTPS74. Its description in RNAcentral is "bacterial SSU rRNA". It matches the Rfam family "Bacterial small subunit ribosomal RNA", at positions 82 to 489 of the family's 1533-position model. The record is from RNAcentral. Lineage: Bacteria; Bacillati; Actinomycetota; Actinomycetes; Kitasatosporales; Streptomycetaceae.
UCGGGGUGGAUUAGUGGCGAACGGGUGAGUAACACGUGGGCAAUCUGCCCUUCACUCUGGGACAAGCCCUGGAAACGGGGUCUAAUACCGGAUACCACUCCUGCCUGCAUGGGCGGGAGUUGAAAGCUCCGGCGGUGAAGGAUGAGCCCGCGGCCUAUCAGCUUGUUGGUGGGGUAAUGGCCCACCAAGGCGACGACGGGUAGCCGGCCUGAGAGGGCGACCGGCCACACUGGGACUGAGACACGGCCCAGACUCCUACGGGAGGCAGCAGUGGGGAAUAUUGCACAAUGGGCGAAAGCCUGAUGCAGCGACGCCGCGUGAGGGAUGACGGCCUUCGGGUUGUAAACCUCUUUCAGCAGGGAAGAAGCGAAAGUGACGGUACCUGCAGAAGAA